Molecule: ribosomal RNA, 254 nt
Filed under: uncultured prokaryote
Description: partial 16S ribosomal RNA
Rfam family: Bacterial small subunit ribosomal RNA
Source: RNAcentral
UACGGAGGAUGCAAGCGUUAUCCGGAUUUAUUGGGUUUAAAGGGUGCGCAGGUUGUUUGAUAAGUCAGUGGUGAAAGUCUGUCGCUUAACGGUAGGGUUGCCAUUGAUACUGUUAGACUUGAAUAUGGAUGAGGUAGGCGGAAUGUGUAGUGUAGCGGUGAAAUGCAUAGAUAUUACACAGAACACCGAUAGCGAAGGCAGCUUACUAAUCCAUCAUUGACGCUGAGGCACGAAAGCGUGGGGAUCAAACAGGA